RNAcentral lists this ribosomal RNA (428 nucleotides) under uncultured bacterium. Its description in RNAcentral is "bacterial SSU rRNA". It matches the Rfam family "Bacterial small subunit ribosomal RNA", at positions 352 to 795 of the family's 1533-position model. The record is from RNAcentral.
CAGUGGGGAAUUUUCCGCAAUGGGCGAAAGCCUGACGGAGCAACGCCGCGUGAGGGAGGAAGGUCUUUGGAUUGUAAACCUCUUUUCUCAAGGAAGAAGUUCUGACGGUACUUGAGGAAUCAGCCUCGGCUAACUCCGUGCCAGCAGCCGCGGUAAUACGGGGGAGGCAAGCGUUAUCCGGAAUUAUUGGGCGUAAAGCGUCCGCAGGUGGUCAGCCAAGUCUGCUGUCAAAUCAGGUUGCUUAACGACCUAAAGGCGGUGGAAACUGGCAGACUAGAGAGCAGUAGGGGUAGCAGGAAUUCCCAGUGUAGCGGUGAAAUGCGUAGAGAUUGGGAAGAACAUCGGUGGCGAAAGCGUGCUACUGGGCUGUAUCUGACACUCAGGGACGAAAGCUAGGGGAGCGAAAGGGAUUAGAUACCCGUGUAGUC